GGUGAUUAUUUUCUGUUUAGUUUUGUACGUAGCAGAACUGUAGGCUGUCGUUCGUGGUUUGGUUGAAGUGUUUCUAUUAAUUGAAUAUGAACACUCACCACGCUGCGCUUUGGUCCCCUACUUCCACAGACGACGGCCGUUACAGGGUAUUACAUUAUUCGACUCCUUUAUUGGAACUUUGUAAUAUUUAGAAUAGCCAUGGAGUAGUCUUUCUGUCUCAGAACAUUUGGUUAUCAAUAUAAAGUUUAUCAACUACGAGAACUACACGUUUCCCUUUUAAUCUAUUCUCCUUGAAGAUUGGGUACAGAGCUUUGGCCAUUCUGCAAUUUCCUUCGGAAAUUGAUAAUUCAUGCCUAUUUUCGUGCCAGCAAUUCUUUUACCCAGGCUUUCAACCAUUAUUUUCUAUUUAAAGAAAGCACAUUUGACAAUGACUGGGCACUCAUCUCUCUGUCCGAAACGGUGUACGCGUUCGAUUUGGAUUUUGUCGACAGCUUCGCUCAGGAUCUGAUGCACUAAAAUAAGGAUCUCCCUCACUACACCCUCAGGAACUUCUCCUUUUUCUCUUGGAUACCAUUGUAAAUCCUCCUGGAACCAACAUUUCCUCCCCAGUUUUCAGUUCCAUCCCUCCUGGAGAGGAGAUGGCAGUCAGCAAUACAACAACCGAAGGAGAAGAAGCCCACUUGCGCAGGAAGACAACACCCCACCUUGUGUCCGAAGAGGACACUAGUCUGCAAUAUGCUACAGCAACAUCUACCAGUGACCGAGCAAGUCUGCUUUAUACUACUGUGACAUUUACCGGUAACCAAGCUGGACCUGGGUGCACCAAGAUCAAGUUUGCAAUGACUGGAGACUACGCCCUCUUAGCAGAAUAAUAGAAUAAGAAAGACUGUCUUGAAGAAAAGUUUUUAGUUUUUCUCAUAGUUAACUUACGUGCCUUUCCUUCAACCUGGUGAUGCACUUACAAAAAAUAAUAAUAAUAUCACCCUGCUUGAUUUACAUAUCUUCUACUCUGUGGACACCAUGUCUUCCUGUAGUCUGUAAACAUCAGUUCCUCUCAGAUUAAUGGUAUUAUCUUACUGGGCUAUAAAUAGAUGUGCAGAGGUUUUAGGAUAAGAUUAAUUUCAACAUGUAUACUUGAUAAAUGUGUAAAUGAACAGCUUUCUUGAUUUAUAAGUCAAUAUGUCAUUUAAAAGUUGUGUGUGUAAAAUGAGAAAACCACAG
This 1221-nucleotide long non-coding RNA is filed under the name Salmo salar (Atlantic salmon). RNAcentral's name for it is "lncRNA (ENSSSAG00000083096.1)". The record is from RNAcentral. Lineage: Eukaryota; Metazoa; Chordata; Actinopteri; Salmoniformes; Salmonidae.